GUCUGCGAUACACAGUAGGCGGCUGAGCGAAAGCAUUAAGUGAUCCACCUGGGGAGUACGAUCGCAAGGUUGAAACUCAAAGGAAUUGACGGGGGCCCGCACAAGCGGAGGAACAUGUGGUUUAAUUCGAUGAUACGCGAGGAACCUUACCUGGGCUUAAAUGUAGACUGCAUAAUUUAGAAAUAGAUUUUCCCUUCGGGGCUGUUUACAAGGUGCUGCAUGGUUGUCGCCAGCUCGUGCCGUGAGGUGUCGGGUUAAGUCCCAUAACGAGCGCAACCCCUAUCGUUAGUUGCUAGCAGGUAAUGCUGAGGACUCUAGCGAGACUGCCACCGUAAGGUGAGAGGAAGGUGGGGAUGACGUCAAAUCAGCACGGCCCUUAUGUCCAGGGCUACACACGUGUUACAAUGGUCGGUACAAAGGGCAGCUACCUGGUGACAGGAUGCCAAUCCCUAAAGCCGAUCCCAGUUCGGAUUGGAGUCUGCAACCCGACUCCAUGAAGUUGGAUUCGCUAGUAAUCGCGCAUCAGCCAUGGCGCGGUGAAUACGUCCCCGGGCCUUGUACACACCGCCCGUCAAACCAUGGAAGCUGGGGGUACCUGAAGUAUGUGACCGC
RNAcentral lists this ribosomal RNA (612 nucleotides) under uncultured Bacteroidota bacterium. RNAcentral describes it as "bacterial SSU rRNA". It matches the Rfam family "Bacterial small subunit ribosomal RNA", at positions 822 to 1437 of the family's 1533-position model. Lineage: Bacteria; Pseudomonadati; Bacteroidota. The record is from RNAcentral.